This 1190-nucleotide long non-coding RNA is filed under the name Phascolarctos cinereus (koala). RNAcentral describes it as "lncRNA (ENSPCIG00000027930.2)". The record is from RNAcentral. Lineage: Eukaryota; Metazoa; Chordata; Mammalia; Diprotodontia; Phascolarctidae.
CUAAAAGAGCAAAAGAAACACUGUCCAACUAGCUGUGUAACCUGAACAAGGAAUCAGAUAAAAAGCCAGGAGGCCUCAGUGCACUCACCAUGUCCCUGCACCAGAAGCCAGCUCUUCGCCAUCUGCUCUUUUCUUCUGUCUUCGUAUUUGGGAGCCCGUGCCUCCAUGACCUUUUGGGAAUUCCUGCCUUUGCCUACACCUCGGUUUGGGGGAAUUACUGCCUGCGCCUCCCAUUAUGCAGAGAUAUAUGGUCUUCUGCCUCCAUCUCUUGAAGACAGUCUCCCUCAAGUCUUCUGGCCUCCUGGCUAAACAUUCCCAGCUCCUUCAUUUGCUUGUCGUCAAGAUGAUUUCAAGUUUUACCUCCAUCCUGAAGGACUAGCUUGGCAUCAUUUCCAAAAUGCAGUGCUGAAUGAGAACUGAACCACCAUAUCCCAGAUGGGACUUGAUGAAAGUCUGAUUAUCUUAUCUUUUAUCAGAAAACAUAGAUCUGGAAGGAACCCUGUAGGGCAUCUAGUCUCCCCUACCCCCAUUAUACGGGUACCACCUGGGGCUUCCUUUCAUUUAAAACCUACUGAAAGGGACCCUAAGAGAUCCACUAAAUCGGAUACUAAGAAUGAGGGCUAUCUAAAUCGGAACUACAUGUGGUUUCUCUUGUUGAAGUGCAGACAUGGACCAGAGUCCCCCCUAGAAACAAAAAAAAAAGAGAUGUGGGUACAGUCUGUAAAGCCUGCGGAGCACGAUGGCCCUCAUGGAUUGUUAAAGGACUCAGAAGAUGGCUUCCAAUAGAACUUGCAUAGAAAAGUGCUCCAGCCCCCAGGACAGGACAAGAAGGCCUGGCUGGCUUGCCAUCUUGUACAGCUGUUGGAGGACACCAUUGCCCUAAUAACUUCCAGCCACGUCCAUCAAGUUCUGCUUUUCUAAAAUUCAGCCUUUCUCUUAAGAUUCCACAAAUGUGUCAUUCUUUCUGGCAGUAUAAGGAGUCUGUCACAGCGAUGUUCCAUAGUUAUCUCCUUGUAGAAUGGAAGCUCUUGGAGAAGUCAGCCUUCCAAUUUUGGCUUUGUAGCUCCAGAAGCUAGCACUGAGUAUGUGUCUAUGAGAUGCAUGUUGAACUGAAUGCACUUGCACUGUUCAACUCAUUGUUUCUGUUAAGACGAUGAAGUAGUAUAGCAAUAAACUUCAUGAUGCCAACA